AGGCUAGUUCCCAGCUUGGGGAAAAUCGUCUAGUAUAUUACAAAAGCUGUAGACUCUAUGUGGCCUACUCAGCCACCAACUCCACUCAACAUAUAUCUAUGAGACCUACGCACUAGCCAAGUGCGCCAUCAUCUUUUGCUUUCCUCCCUCAGCCAACCACCACCACUAUCUCCAAUCCUUUAACUUUACAGCCAACAACUCACUUAUUAAAGCACCACCAACUCUCCUCCACUUACUCUCAACUCCAGCAGAGAGCACAACAUUCUCUAUCAUUUUCCUGUCACCAAGAGGUCUCUCCAAAGAGCAGAGAAGCCCCCACUUCGUUCAGCCAAGUUCUCAAGGUAAACUUGCUUUAAUGCUCUAUUUUCUUUCAUUACCCACCUGCAAUAAAGAGCAACAACAUCAAUUUAUUUCAGUUCAGUUCCAACCCAUUUAAUACCUUAAGAAAUCGAAGAAGCAAGAGGGAGUAUUCAUUCACUGCUGUGCCAAACUUUAAGUUCAGCCCAAAUCAUUCCAGUUCGUUAAGCUCAACGACAAACAGCCAACCAACAUUCGUUCUCAAGGUCAAGCGCGAGAGUAAGAACUACACAAGGAGUUAGAGUACCUUAGCAAAACUUUGCUAUCAGGUUGAGCUGUGAUGGGCGAUGAAGUGUUGUUGCUGAGUGGAGUUUUUGUCGAACUUAAAGUAGGCUCAGAAAGGAUACAUGUCUUCAUACAUGUAUCUCAGUUAUGCAUUCCGCUGUAAACACUGAUUAUUUCAGUUACGCCUUCCGUUGCAAACUCUGAUAAUGUUUUAGCCAAGCCCCUAAUGAUGCCUUUUCCUUUUAAGGAAUAUAACGCGUAUACAAGUUCUUUGAGUAC
Salvia miltiorrhiza (redroot sage) is the source of this 861-nucleotide long non-coding RNA. RefSeq lists it as uncharacterized. Lineage: Eukaryota; Viridiplantae; Streptophyta; Magnoliopsida; Lamiales; Lamiaceae. The record is from RefSeq and is a predicted model, not a curated record. The transcript has 3 exons.